This 301-nucleotide ribosomal RNA is filed under the name uncultured bacterium. Its description in RNAcentral is "partial 16S ribosomal RNA". It matches the Rfam family "Bacterial small subunit ribosomal RNA", at positions 509 to 807 of the family's 1533-position model. The record is from RNAcentral.
CAGUAGCCGCGGGAAUACGGAGGAUCCGAGCGUUAUCCGGAAUUAUUGGGUUUAAAGGGUGCGUAGGCGGAUAGAUAAGUCAGUGGUGAAAGACGGUGGCUCAACCAUCGCAGUGCCGUUGAUACUGUUUAUCUUGAAUAUGGAUGAGGUAGGCGGAAUGUGGCAAGUAGCGGUGAAAUGCAUAGAUAUGCCACAGAACACCGAUUGCGAAGGCAGCUUACCAAGGCAAAAUUGACGCUGAGGCACGAAAGCGUGGGGAUCGAACAGGAUUAGAUACCCGCGUAGUCCCUGUCUCUUAUAC